CCUACGGGAGGCAGCAGUGAGGAAUAUUGGUCAAUGGACGGAAGUCUGAACCAGCCAUGCCGCGUGCAGGACGACGGCUCUAUGAGUUGUAAACUGCUUUUGUACAAGGGUAAACCUGAAUACGUGUAUUCAGCUGAAAGUCCUGUACGAAUAAGGCUCGGCUAACUCCGUGCCAGCAGCCGCGGUAAUACGGAGGAGCCAAGCGUUAUCCGGUUUUAUUGGGUUUAAGGGGUGCGUAGGGGGAUUGAUCAGUUAGAGGUGAAAUGUCCGAGCUUAACUCGGGAACUGCCUCUAAUACGGUUGAUCUAGGGAGAAGAUGCGGUAGGCGGAAGGUAGGGUGUAGCGGGGAAAUGCUU
This 356-nucleotide ribosomal RNA is filed under the name uncultured bacterium. RNAcentral's name for it is "partial 16S ribosomal RNA". It matches the Rfam family "Bacterial small subunit ribosomal RNA", at positions 338 to 691 of the family's 1533-position model. The record is from RNAcentral.